Molecule: ribosomal RNA, 593 nt
Filed under: Brevibacillus laterosporus
Lineage: Bacteria; Bacillati; Bacillota; Bacilli; Caryophanales; Paenibacillaceae
Description: bacterial SSU rRNA
Rfam family: Bacterial small subunit ribosomal RNA
Source: RNAcentral
UUAAUGGAGAGUUUGAUCCUGGCUCAGGACGAACGCUGGCGGCGUGCCUAAUACAUGCAAGUCGAGCGAGGGUCUUCGGACCCUAGCGGCGGACGGGUGAGUAACACGUAGGCAACCUGCCUGUAAGACUGGGAUAACAUAGGGAAACUUAUGCUAAUACCGGAUAGGGUUUUGCUUCGCCUGAAGCGAAACGGAAAGAUGGCGCAAGCUAUCACUUACAGAUGGGCCUGCGGCGCAUUAGCUAGUUGGUGAGGUAAUGGCUCACCAAGGCGACGAUGCGUAGCCGACCUGAGAGGGUGACCGGCCACACUGGGACUGAGACACGGCCCAGACUCCUACGGGAGGCAGCAGUAGGGAAUUUUCCACAAUGGACGAAAGUCUGAUGGAGCAACGCCGCGUGAACGAUGAAGGCUUUCGGGUCGUAAAGUUCUGUUGUUAGGGAAGAAACAGUGCUAUUUAAAUAAGGUAGCACCUUGACGGUACCUAACGAGAAAGCCACGGCUAACUACGUGCCAGCAGCCGCGGUAAUACGUAGGUGGCAAGCGUUGUCCGGAAUUAUUGGGCGUAAAGCGCGCGCAGGUGGCUAUGUAAGU